Mytilus californianus (California mussel) is the source of this 652-nucleotide long non-coding RNA. RefSeq lists it as uncharacterized. The transcript is spliced from 6 exons. Lineage: Eukaryota; Metazoa; Mollusca; Bivalvia; Mytilida; Mytilidae. The record is from RefSeq and is a predicted model, not a curated record.
CUACUACUAGUAAUAGCAUUUUUUCAUCCAAAGUAGCGCUCAAGUAACCCCUAGUCAGUGCCUUAUUUUCCCUUUUUCUUUUGCAGUGACAUAUGGAAUGCACAUACAUCAGACUAUGAAUCAUACCCGAAUUCAACAUAUGGACACCUUUACCAAGAAUAUGGAAACAAUAGUGAGAGAAGACCAACGUUUGGAAAUUUGUAUCAGUCGAACCAAGAUACAGAUGCAGAUCCAGAACAUGAAGACAGUCAAAUAUGGAUUUUCGAUUCCCAAUAUAUAGGCAAUCGUGAAGAAUCUUAUCCUAUGAAUAACAAGAUACGUGGGUAUUGUAUCAUUUUCAACGUGGAAGAUGUCGGUGGAAGUAUAAGAAAUGGUACUAAUAUUGAUGCAAAAAGAAUGGAAAACAGUUUUAAACAUUUAGGAUUUCAUGUAGUUGUAAAGCACAAUCCAUCCAGAGCAGUAAUUAACAGUACAAUGAAAGGUUAUCGCUCUGUAAAUCACAGCAAUGACGAUUGUUUCGUAUGUGUAAUUCUUAGUCACGGCCGAGAUGAACACAUUAGAUCAACCAACAAUGAAGACGUAUCGCUACAAGAAGUUAUGGACUAUGUUAAAAAUUGUCGCACUCUUCUUGGAAAGCCGAAACUUUUCUUUG